Non-coding RNA from Cyanistes caeruleus (blue tit), 1393 nucleotides. Lineage: Eukaryota; Metazoa; Chordata; Aves; Passeriformes; Paridae. The record is from RefSeq and is a predicted model, not a curated record.
CCCAUCUGAAUGGACUCUCUUUUAGUUUCAAACCUUUUCCCCCUUGUCUCUUGCAAUUGGCCCUGCUAAUUAGAUGUGUCCCCAUCUUUCUCCAAAGCCCCUUCAAUUAUUGAACUUGUCUCCUCGGGGCUUGUCCUUCUCCAGGCCAAAGAAGCCCAGUUCUCACAGGUGUUCCUCAGAGGAGAGCUCCCAGCUUCUGGUCAUUUCUGAGGCCCUCUUUUGCUCUCGGGUGCUGUUUUCAGGUUUACCUGCUAGCGAAGGAACUGAAGUAUCGCAAUGCUGGGGACAGAGGCCCACAGUGGCGUUUGGAAAACACAACGAAAGCAGUCCCUGACAAGCGGUUCUAGGUUGAUCUGUGGGAAGGCAGGGGCUGUGGGAGGCUGACUGUGAGCCUCAGAGGGGACCCAGCUUGUCCCUCCUGCCCCACUCUUAGAAGUUGCUGCCAGCCAAACAAGGACAGCUGAGCAGCAUUUGUGCCAGCCCCAUGUGCUACCUGGCCCGGUCAAGUCAGUGAGAAGCGCUGCGGCUUUGCUGCCAGCUUUUGUGUUAGACAGGGAGCUGGUGACCAGGCCACUUCCUUGGCUGUCCCUGCUGUGGUGGAAGAUGCCAGCCAGCACAGGAGGGGCAGGGCAUGCUAAGGAACACACUUCUCUCCUUGCAAGCCAAGAAGAGAACUGAGUCUAUUUGCACUUUGCUGCUUGUGUCUGUGCAUUUCUGGGCACUAGAGGAAACCAGCUUGAGCCUGUUAGGAGCUCAGUUUGGAAAAGAAUGGUUUCUUUUGCCUUUGUCUCUUGUAAUUUGGUUUCUUUUGUUUCUCUUUCUUUCUUGGGCAGCAUCCAUUCCUCAAAUUAGCCAAGCCUCUCUUCGGCCUCUUCUGACAGCCCAAUUGCUGCCAUCCCUGCAGCAAAGUAAUGCAGGAAACAGAGGAGAUGGCAAGGACCACUUCAGCACUUGGAGAACAGAGCCUCUGAGAACAGGCAGACACCCUGAGGAGCGAGGGGCCAGGAAACAACAGGCGGCCAUCAGAACAGGAGAGGAAGCAGGCAAACAAGAUGGAACGACAGCGUUUGCAGGCACAGCAGCUGCUGGAGCAACGGGAACACUUCCCGGCAGAGGUGCAGAGGGAGCAGGAGAAAUAGCGGCUUGAGAUGAAGCAGGAAGUUGCCAUCAUUCAAGCUACCAAGAAGAGGUAUGAAGCAGAGCCAAUCAAGAGGCAAAGGAUCACAAGGGCCCCCGCCACAUAAAUCUCCACUCCAGGUGCUUUGCAAAUGAAAAUGAAGGAAAUUUGCAGGGAAGCAAUCGAGGAAGCAGAGAGCAUGACCAGGUGCACUUCAGCAUUACUUUCUCCAAUGCCAGCUCACAGCCAGAAUAAAAACAUCUUUAAAACCCUCAA